ACUCAAGAUGGCUGCCCCCAUCAAGAUGACCGGGGUGUGCCGGGGGGAAAGGGGCAGCAUGAUUGUCUGAGAUGUCCUCUGGACUAAAAUGGGGAACACAUUGGGCCUGGCACCAAUGGGGACUUUGCCCCGCCGGAGCCCCCGCCGAGAGGAACCCCUGCCCAACCCUGGGAGCUUCGAUGAGCUGCACCGGCUAUGCAAAGAUGUAUUCCCAGCACAGAUGGAGGGCGUGAAGCUCGUUGUCAACAAGGUUCUGAGCAGCCAUUUCCAGGUGGCUCACACUAUACACAUGAGUGCCCUGGGCUUGCCGGGAUAUCACCUCCAUGCGGCCUAUGCAGGGGAUUGGCAGCUCAGUCCCACUGAGGUGUUCCCCACUGUGGUAGGGGAUAUGGACAGCAGUGGCAGCCUGAACGCCCAGGUCUUGCUCCUCUUGGCAGAGCGGCUCCGAGCUAAGGCUGUCUUCCAGACGCAGCAGGCCAAGUUCUUGACAUGGCAGUUUGAUGGCGAGUAUCGGGGAGAUGACUACACAGCCACUCUGACCCUAGGAAAUCCUGACCUGAUUGGGGAGUCGGUGAUCAUGGUUGCUCACUUCCUGCAGAGCCUCACUCAUCGGCUGGUGCUGGGAGGAGAGCUAGUUUAUCACCGGCGGCCAGGCGAAGAGGGGGCCAUCUUGACACUGGCUGGGAAGUACUCGGCUGUACACUGGGUAGCUACAUUGAAUGUGGGAUCAGGCGGGGCCCAUGCAAGUUACUACCACAGGGCAAAUGAACAGGUUCAGGUUGGAGUGGAGUUUGAGGCAAACACAAGGCUACAAGACACAACAUUCUCCUUUGGUUACCACCUGA
This 845-nucleotide small RNA is filed under the name Pongo abelii (Sumatran orangutan). RNAcentral describes it as "processed transcript". Lineage: Eukaryota; Metazoa; Chordata; Mammalia; Primates; Hominidae. The record is from RNAcentral.